This 765-nucleotide ribosomal RNA is filed under the name Triticum aestivum (bread wheat). Its description in RNAcentral is "partial small subunit ribosomal RNA". Lineage: Eukaryota; Viridiplantae; Streptophyta; Magnoliopsida; Poales; Poaceae. The record is from RNAcentral.
AUGCCUAACAAAAGAGUUCAACCGGUUAUCCCGGACCUCGUUCACCAUGACCAAUCUGGGUUCAUUCAAGGGCGUAACAUCGCGGAAAAUUUCAUCCUUGCUGCGGACAUUGUACAAGCGUGCCACAAACGAGAUUGUCCGGCUUUAGUUCUAAAAUUAGACUUCAAGAAAGCUUUUGACUCAGUAUCCUGGGAUUGCCUUUGCAAGAUCCUCAAGGCGAAAGGUUUCCCGGACAUUUGGAUUCGUUGGAUCAUGAUGUUAAAUAACUCUAGCCAAUCGGCCAUCCUGCUAGAUGGUGUCCCCGGGAAGUGGAUCCAAUGCAAAAACAGCCUUAGGCAAGGCGAUCCUAUCUCCCGAUACCUUUUUAUAAUUGUUGCCGACAUCCUCCAACGCAUGAUUCUUCGCGCCUCUAACCAAGGUCUUCUGCAGCACCCAAUCAUCCCAAGCUCCCCUUGUCCGAUGCUUCAGUAUGCCGAUGACACCCUCAUUAUCAUCAAGGCCGACUACGACCAUCUUGCCAACCUUAAACUUAUUUUGCAGAACUUCUCUUUGGCUACGGGGCUUAAUAUAAACUUUCAGAAAAGUACCUUCGCCCCAAUCCAUGUAGAUCCUCAUAUAGCUGCGGUUAUGGCAUCCUCUCUAGGCUGCUCAGUUGCCUCUUUUCCUCAAAAUUACCUCGGCCUCCCUUUAUCCACGCACAAAUUACGGCUGCUAGAUUUCCACCCUAUGAUUGCAAAGGUUGACAAGCGGUUGGCCGGUUGGUGA